UACGUAGGCAGCAAGCGUUGUUCGGAGUUACUGGGCGUAAAGGGUGCGUAGGCGGCUUUUUAAGUUUGGUGUGAAAUCUCCCGGCUCAACUGGGAGGGUGCGCCGAAUACUGAGAGGCUAGAGUGCGGGAGAGGAAAGUGGAAUUCCUGGUGUAGCGGUGAAAUGCGUAGAUAUCGGGAAGAACACCCGUGGCGAAGGCGGCACUCUGGGACGGUACUGACGCUGAGACGCGAAAGCGUGGGGAGCGAACAGG
Molecule: ribosomal RNA, 253 nt
Filed under: uncultured bacterium
Lineage: Bacteria
Description: partial 16S ribosomal RNA
Rfam family: Bacterial small subunit ribosomal RNA
Source: RNAcentral